Molecule: long non-coding RNA, 698 nt
Filed under: Homo sapiens (human)
Lineage: Eukaryota; Metazoa; Chordata; Mammalia; Primates; Hominidae
Description: HSALNT0019467
Source: RNAcentral
GGAAAUGAACUAAAUGGAUCAGCUCAAUGUGCUCUGACCCGUUCCGUAAUAUGCAGGCAUUUGGCAUUAGCGGGUGCACACCUUGAUCUUAUAUAGGAUGACGGGUAAGCAAUUGAUGUGGAUCCACCAAAUUUUCUCUACGGCAGUUUGGCAUAAACAGAAGUAUGCUUUAGAAUGAUGGAUCUUGAGAGGAUAGAUCAGAAGAAUGACUGGAUGGUGAGAAUUCUGCCAGGCAUGCUGUUUUAAUGGAAGAUUUUUUUAAAAAAAUGCUUAAUGACUGAGGGGACAGAGCAAAAUGGUGGAACAGAAAGCUCCGCUAAUCAUACCCCCGUAAUGACAACAAUUUAACGGCUAUCUACACACGAGAAAGCACCUUCAUAAGAACCAAAAAUCAGGUGAGCACUCAUAAUACCUGGUUUUCCCUUUAUACUGAUGAAAGACUCACUAAAGAGGCAGGAAAAACAGCCUUGAAUCACCAACGGCUUUCCUCCCCCAACUCCUGGUAGUGACAGUAUGGUGCAGAGACAUUUCUGUUUGCUAUGGAGAGGGAGAACACAGCAAUUGUGAGACAUUGAACUCAGUACUGCUCUAUGAUAGUAGAAAGAAAUACUGAACCAAAUUCUACUCAUGCCCACACAGAGAGGGAGUAUUUAAACCAGCCUUAGCCAGAGGGGAAUCACUGACCCCAGUGGUCAGAA